Molecule: ribosomal RNA, 687 nt
Filed under: uncultured marine alpha proteobacterium
Lineage: Bacteria; Pseudomonadati; Pseudomonadota; Alphaproteobacteria
Description: bacterial SSU rRNA
Rfam family: Bacterial small subunit ribosomal RNA
Source: RNAcentral
UUUUCAGUGUCGCAGCGAAAGCAUUAAACACACCGCCUGGGGAGUACGACCGCAAGGUUAAAACUCAAAUGAAUUGACGGGGACCCGCACAAGUAGUGGAGCAUGUGGUUUAAUUCGAAGAUACGCGCAGAACCUUACCAACACUUGACAUGUUCGUCGCGACUCUAAGAGAUUAGAGUUUUCGGUUCGGCCGGACGAAACACAGGUGCUGCAUGGCUGUCGUCAGCUCGUGUCGUGAGAUGUUGGGUUAAGUCCCGCAACGAGCGCAACCCUCACUUUUAGUUGCCAUCAUUUAGUUGGGCACUCUGAAAGAACUGCCAGUGAUAAGCUGGAGGAAGGUGGGGAUGACGUCAAGUCCUCAUGGCCCUUACGUGUUGGGCUACACACGUGCUACAAUGGCAUUUACAAUAGGAAGCAAGAUGGCGACAUCAAGCAAAUCCUAAAAAGAUGCCUCAGUUCGGAUUGUACUCUGCAACUCGAGUACAUGAAGCUGGAAUUACUAGUAAUCGCGGAUCAGCGCGCCGCGGUGAAUACGUUCCCGGGUCUUGUACACACCGCCCGUCACACCAUGGGAGUUGGUUCUACCUUAAGGCAAGGUUUAAAAUCCUUGACUACGGUAUAGUCAGCGACUGGGGUGAAGUCGUAACAAGGUAGCCGUAGGGGAACCUGCGGCUGGAUUACCUCCUU